Molecule: ribosomal RNA, 1413 nt
Filed under: Lacticaseibacillus rhamnosus
Lineage: Bacteria; Bacillati; Bacillota; Bacilli; Lactobacillales; Lactobacillaceae
Description: bacterial SSU rRNA
Rfam family: Bacterial small subunit ribosomal RNA
Source: RNAcentral
CGAGUUCUGAUUAUUGAAAGGUGCUUGCAUCUUGAUUUAAUUUUGAACGAGUGGCGGACGGGUGAGUAACACGUGGGUAACCUGCCCUUAAGUGGGGGAUAACAUUUGGAAACAGAUGCUAAUACCGCAUAAAUCCAAGAACCGCAUGGUUCUUGGCUGAAAGAUGGCGUAAGCUAUCGCUUUUGGAUGGACCCGCGGCGUAUUAGCUAGUUGGUGAGGUAACGGCUCACCAAGGCAAUGAUACGUAGCCGAACUGAGAGGUUGAUCGGCCACAUUGGGACUGAGACACGGCCCAAACUCCUACGGGAGGCAGCAGUAGGGAAUCUUCCACAAUGGACGCAAGUCUGAUGGAGCAACGCCGCGUGAGUGAAGAAGGCUUUCGGGUCGUAAAACUCUGUUGUUGGAGAAGAAUGGUCGGCAGAGUAACUGUUGUCGGCGUGACGGUAUCCAACCAGAAAGCCACGGCUAACUACGUGCCAGCAGCCGCGGUAAUACGUAGGUGGCAAGCGUUAUCCGGAUUUAUUGGGCGUAAAGCGAGCGCAGGCGGUUUUUUAAGUCUGAUGUGAAAGCCCUCGGCUUAACCGAGGAAGUGCAUCGGAAACUGGGAAACUUGAGUGCAGAAGAGGACAGUGGAACUCCAUGUGUAGCGGUGAAAUGCGUAGAUAUAUGGAAGAACACCAGUGGCGAAGGCGGCUGUCUGGUCUGUAACUGACGCUGAGGCUCGAAAGCAUGGGUAGCGAACAGGAUUAGAUACCCUGGUAGUCCAUGCCGUAAACGAUGAAUGCUAGGUGUUGGAGGGUUUCCGCCCUUCAGUGCCGCAGCUAACGCAUUAAGCAUUCCGCCUGGGGAGUACGACCGCAAGGUUGAAACUCAAAGGAAUUGACGGGGGCCCGCACAAGCGGUGGAGCAUGUGGUUUAAUUCGAAGCAACGCGAAGAACCUUACCAGGUCUUGACAUCUUUUGAUCACCUGAGAGAUCAGGUUUCCCCUUCGGGGGCAAAAUGACAGGUGGUGCAUGGUUGUCGUCAGCUCGUGUCGUGAGAUGUUGGGUUAAGUCCCGCAACGAGCGCAACCCUUAUGACUAGUUGCCAGCAUUUAGUUGGGCACUCUAGUAAGACUGCCGGUGACAAACCGGAGGAAGGUGGGGAUGACGUCAAAUCAUCAUGCCCCUUAUGACCUGGGCUACACACGUGCUACAAUGGAUGGUACAACGAGUUGCGAGACCGCGAGGUCAAGCUAAUCUCUUAAAGCCAUUCUCAGUUCGGACUGUAGGCUGCAACUCGCCUACACGAAGUCGGAAUCGCUAGUAAUCGCGGAUCAGCACGCCGCGGUGAAUACGUUCCCGGGCCUUGUACACACCGCCCGUCACACCAUGAGAGUUUGUAACACCCGAAGCCGGUGGCGUAACCCUUUU